RNAcentral lists this ribosomal RNA (253 nucleotides) under uncultured bacterium. RNAcentral's name for it is "partial 16S ribosomal RNA". It matches the Rfam family "Bacterial small subunit ribosomal RNA", at positions 524 to 776 of the family's 1533-position model. The record is from RNAcentral.
UACAGGGGGUGCAAACGUUGCUCGGAAUCAUUGGGCGUAAAGCGCGUGUAGGCGGUCCGGUAAGUCCGCUGUGAAAGUCGGGGGCUCAACCCUCGGAUGCCGGUGGAUACUGUCGGGCUUGAGUACGGAAGAGGCGAGUGGAAUUCCUGGUGUAGCGGUGAAAUGCGCAGAUAUCAGGAGGAACACCAAUUGCGAAGGCAGCUCGCUGGGACGUUACUGACGCUGAGACGCGAAAGCGUGGGGAGCAAACAGG